RNAcentral lists this ribosomal RNA (258 nucleotides) under uncultured bacterium. RNAcentral's name for it is "partial 16S ribosomal RNA". It matches the Rfam family "Bacterial small subunit ribosomal RNA", at positions 793 to 1055 of the family's 1533-position model. The record is from RNAcentral.
GUCCACGCCGUAAACUAUGAUUACUCGAUAUUGGCUAUAUACGGUCAGUGUCUAAGCGAAAGUUAUAAGUAAUCCACCUGGGGAGUACGGUCGCAAGAUUGAAACUCAAAGGAAUUGACGGGGGCCCCGCACAAGCGGUGGAGCAUGUGGUUUAAUUCGAUGAUACGCGAGGAACCUUACCAGGACUUGAAUGCAUUUUGACAGAUUGAGAAAUCAGUCGUUCUUCGGACAAUUUGCAAGGUGCUGCAUGGCUGUCGU